CAGUCGCCGCGGGAAUACGAAGGGGGCUAGCGUUGUUCGGAUUUACUGGGCGUAAAGCGCACGUAGGCGGACUUUUAAGUCAGGGGUGAAAUACCGGGGCUCAACCCCGGAACUGCCUUUGAUACUGGAAGUCUUGAGUAUGGUAGAGGUGAGUGGAAUUCCGAGUGUAGAGGUGAAAUUCGUAGAUAUUCGGAGGAACACCAGUGGCGAAGGCGGCUCACUGGACCAUUACUGACGCUGAGGUGCGAAAGCGUGGGGAGCAAACAGGAUUAGAUACCCGCGUAGUCCCUGUCUCUUAUAC
RNAcentral lists this ribosomal RNA (301 nucleotides) under uncultured bacterium. Its description in RNAcentral is "partial 16S ribosomal RNA". It matches the Rfam family "Bacterial small subunit ribosomal RNA", at positions 509 to 807 of the family's 1533-position model. The record is from RNAcentral.